RNAcentral lists this ribosomal RNA (352 nucleotides) under uncultured bacterium. RNAcentral's name for it is "partial 16S ribosomal RNA". It matches the Rfam family "Bacterial small subunit ribosomal RNA", at positions 338 to 682 of the family's 1533-position model. The record is from RNAcentral.
CCUACGGGCGGCAGCAGUGGGGAAUAUUGCGCAAUGGGCGAAAGCCUGACGCAGCGACGCCGCGUGAGGGAUGAAGGUCUUCGGAUCGUAAACCUCUGUCAGCAGGGAAGAACGGUCACGGGAGUAAUCAGCAGUGAAUUGACGGUACCUGCAAAGGAAGCACCGGCUAACUCCGUGCCAGCAGCCGCGGUAAUACGGAGGGGGCGAGCGUUAAUCGGAAUUACUGGGCGGAAAGCGCACGUAGGCGGUAUUUCAAGUCACGGGUGAAAGCCUCGCGCUCAACGUGGGAACUGCCUUUGAAACUGGCAAACUGGAGUGUGUGUGAGGAUAGUGGCCUUCCAUGUGUCGCGGU